This 497-nucleotide ribosomal RNA is filed under the name uncultured bacterium. Its description in RNAcentral is "partial 16S ribosomal RNA". It matches the Rfam family "Bacterial small subunit ribosomal RNA", at positions 28 to 507 of the family's 1533-position model. The record is from RNAcentral.
GAUGAACGCUGGCGGCGUGCCUAAUACAUGCAAGUCGAGCGAACGGACGAGAAGCUUGCUUUUCUGAUGUUAGCGGCGGACGGGUGAGUAACACGUGGAUAACCUACCUAUAAGACUGGGAUAACUUCGGGAAACCGGAGCUAAUACCGGAUAAUAUUUUGAACCGCAUGGUUCAAAAGUGAAAGACGGUCUUGCUGUCACUUAUAGAUGGAUCCGCGCUGCAUUAGCUAGUUGGUAAGGUAACGGCUUACCAAGGCAACGAUGCAUAGCCGACCUGAGAGGGUGGACCGCCACACUGGAACCGGGGCAAGGUCCAGGCUCCUACGGGAGGGCACAGGAGGGAAUCUUUCGGAAUGGGCGGAAACCUGACCGAGGCACGGCGCGGGAGGUAAGAAGGUCUUCGGGUCCGAAAACUUUGUUUUUAGGGAAGAACCAAUUGGGAAGGAACCGGUCACCUCUUGGCGGUACCUAAUUAAAAAACCACGGGUUACUUCCGG